Molecule: microRNA, 23 nt
Filed under: Caenorhabditis elegans
Lineage: Eukaryota; Metazoa; Nematoda; Chromadorea; Rhabditida; Rhabditidae
Description: cel-miR-35-5p
Gene: cel-miR-35-5p
Source: miRBase by way of RNAcentral
UGCUGGUUUCUUCCACAGUGGUA